UACGGAGGGUGCGAGCGUUGUUCGGAAUCAUUGGGCGUAAAGGGCGCGUAGGCGGCCUUCUAAGUCGAACGUGAAAUCCCCGGGCUCAACCCGGGAACUGCGUCCGAUACUGGAAGGCUUGAAUCCGGGAGAGGGAUGCGGAAUUCCAGGUGUAGCGGUGAAAUGCGCAGAUAUCAGGAGGAACACCGGUGGCGAAGGCGGGUCUCUGGGCCGAAACUGACGCUGAGGAGCGAAAGCGUGGGGAGCAAACAGG
RNAcentral lists this ribosomal RNA (253 nucleotides) under uncultured bacterium. RNAcentral describes it as "partial 16S ribosomal RNA". It matches the Rfam family "Bacterial small subunit ribosomal RNA", at positions 524 to 776 of the family's 1533-position model. The record is from RNAcentral.